GUCACUUGGGAUCUGGAGAGUGAGCCCAUCCUGGAAUAGAAGUGCUCCAGCUCACUGGCAGUAAAAAUGUACAUGUUUAGUUUUGUUACUUCUAAAUAGAAAGUUCAGCCUUAAAUAUGCUCCAUGCAGCAGGCCUUUGUUAGUUCUUACCUGUUUAAACAGACUGGUUGCUCAGACCUCAUAUACUUACAUAAUUCAGAAAGCAACCUAUAUACAGUAAAAAGGUCUUUUGUCAGUGGCUGCCUUGCAUGCUUUUGCUAUGAGGUCACUCAAGUUAGCAAAGCAUAUAAUCGUUUAUCCUGGCUCCAUGUUUCCAAACCACACCCUGGCACUUCGGGAUGGAAAAGUAUGUGCAGUCCUGUAUUGCCUUGUCAAGCCCCUUCAAGUCAUCCCUUCCCGUUCCUGUGAUUUGGGAACCUCUCAGAUUGAAAAAACUUUUAAUUCACCUGAAGUUCAAGGAACAGUAACCUGAAUGAGUUCUUCCCAGGACAGCUGGGCAUGCAGCACCAGACUGGUGUGUAGCACAGGGAGCAAACUGAUCAUUUCCAGCAGAUCUGUAAGAAAGGACCAAGGGAUGGGAAGUGGACCAGGGAAUGUGCCCUUCAGUGCAAGGCAUGGAUGCUGAACUUUGUGCCACUAUGGAGCACAGAGCCUAUCAAGGCUGAAUAUUACAUGGGACAGGUUUGUUUAUAGUCAUUGUUAUGGUGGGAGAACAAAAGAGAAGCAAGUGGCUGAGUCUCAAGAAAGCCAGUGAAAAAAGUGAAGGUUCAAAAGGCUUGCGUUUAAGAUUCAACCAGAAGCCAGUGAUUGCUUUACAGACCAUCUUUCAGUGCAAGUUUACGAACUGCUGGAGUCCCAUGGAUCCUGGAGUCCCAGACUGAGCAGCACUCCUCUAACAGAGUUGUUUGAAUCCUGUAAUGGAAAGUGUUCCUUGUUCUCCCAGGAUAGACAUUUUUCUCAUGUGAUCUCGUGGAGUCAUUCUGCAAGGAGACAGCAGCAGCUUUUCUGUUGUAAAGAACUGAAUCAGCAGGUCCAAAGACAAGAAUAAAACAUUAGAAAAUGUAAGAAA
Neopsephotus bourkii (Bourke's parrot) is the source of this 1069-nucleotide long non-coding RNA. RefSeq lists it as uncharacterized. The record is from RefSeq and is a predicted model, not a curated record. The transcript has 4 exons. NCBI's taxonomy places the organism in Eukaryota, Metazoa, Chordata, Aves, Psittaciformes, Psittacidae.